GAUGAACGCUGGCGGCGUGCUUAACACAUGCAAGUCGAGCGAAGCACUUUGAUCGGAUUUUUUCGGAAUGACGAUUGAUUUGACUGAGCGGCGGACGGGUGAGUAACGCGUGGGUAACCUGCCUCACACAGGGGGAUAACAGUUGGAAACGGCUGCUAAUACCGCAUAAGCGCACGGGGACGCAUGUUUCUGUGUGAAAAACUCCGGUGGUGUGAGAUGGACCCGCGUCUGAUUAGGUAGUUGGUGAGGUAACGGCUCACCAAGCCGACGAUCAGUAGCCGACCUGAGAGGGUGACCGGCCACAUUGGGACUGAGACACGGCCCAAACUCCUACGGGAGGCAGCAGUGGGGAAUAUUGCACAAUGGGGGAAACCCUGAUGCAGCGACGCCGCGUGAAGGAAGAAGUAUUUCGGUAUGUAAACUUCUAUCAGCAGGGAAGAAAAUGACGGUAC
RNAcentral lists this ribosomal RNA (452 nucleotides) under uncultured bacterium. Its description in RNAcentral is "bacterial SSU rRNA". It matches the Rfam family "Bacterial small subunit ribosomal RNA", at positions 28 to 478 of the family's 1533-position model. The record is from RNAcentral.